AGUGGCGGACGGGUGAGGAAUACGUAGGGAUCUGCCUUUAAGUGGGGGAUAACCCGGGGAAACCCGGAUUAAUACCGCAUGAUCUCGCAAGAGCAAAGAGGGGGACCGCAAGGCCUCUCGCUUUAAGAGGAACCUACGUCGGAUUAGCUAGUUGGUGAGGUAAUGGCUCACCAAGGCGACGAUCCGUAACUGGUCUGAGAGGAUGAUCAGUCACACCGGAACUGAGACACGGUCCGGACUCCUACGGGAGGCAGCAGUGGGGAAUAUUGGACAAUGGGCGAAAGCCUGAUCCAGUAAUACCGCGUGUGUGAAGAAGGCCUUCGGGUUGUAAAGCACUUUAAGUUGGGAAGAAAAAGCUUCACCUAAUACGUGGAGCCUUGACGGUACCGACAGAAUAAGCACCGGCUAACUCUGUGCCAGCAGCCGCGGUAAUACAGAGGGUGCUAGCGUUAAUCGGAUUUACUGGGCGUAAAGCGUGCGUAGGCGGUUUAAUAAGUCGAUUGUGAAAGCCCCGGGCUCAACCUGGGAAUUGCGGUCGAUACUGUCAGACUCGAAAACGGUCGAGGGAGGCGGAACUCCAGGUGUAGCGGUGAAAUGCGUAGAUAUCUGGAAGAACACCGAUGGCGAAGGCAACCUCCUGGGCCUGUUUUGACGCUGAGGCACGAAAGCGUGGGUAGCAAACAGGAUUAGAUACCCUGGU
Molecule: ribosomal RNA, 700 nt
Filed under: uncultured Gammaproteobacteria bacterium
Lineage: Bacteria; Pseudomonadati; Pseudomonadota; Gammaproteobacteria
Description: bacterial SSU rRNA
Rfam family: Bacterial small subunit ribosomal RNA
Source: RNAcentral